This 468-nucleotide ribosomal RNA is filed under the name uncultured bacterium. RNAcentral describes it as "partial 16S ribosomal RNA". It matches the Rfam family "Bacterial small subunit ribosomal RNA", at positions 28 to 507 of the family's 1533-position model. The record is from RNAcentral.
GACGAACGCUGGCGGCGUGCUUAACACAUGCAAGUCGAACGGAAAGGCCCUGCUUUUGUGGGGUGCUCGAGUGGCGAACGGGUGAGUAACACGUGAGUAACCUGCCCUUGACUUUGGGAUAACUUCAGGAAACUGGGGCUAAUACCGGAUAGGAGCUCCUGCUGCAUGGUGGGGGUUGGAAAGUUUCGGCGGUUGGGGAUGGACUCGCGGCUUAUCAGCUUGUUGGUGGGGUAGGGGCUUACCAAGGCUUUGACGGGUAGCCGGCCUGAGAGGGUGACCGGCCACAUUGGGACUGAGAUACGGCCCAGACUCCUACGGGAGGCAGCAGUGGGGAAUAUUGCACAAUGGGCGGAAGCCUGAUGCAGCAACGCCGCGUGCGGGAUGACGGCCUUCGGGUUGUAAACCGCUUUCGCCUGUGACGAAGCGUGAGUGACGGUAAUGAGUAAAGAAGCACCGGCUAACUACGUG